GACGAACGCUGACGGCGUGCUUAACACAUGCAAGUCGAACGGACAGACAGAGAGCUUGCUCUCUUGAAGUUAGUGGCGAACGGGUGAGUAACGCGUAAUCAACCUGCCCUUCAGAGGGGGAUAACAACGGGAAACCGUUGCUAAUACCGCGUACGAUUCAUGAACGGCAUCGUUUAUGAAUGAAAGGUGGCCUCUAUGUAUAAGCUAUCGCUGAAGGAGGGGAUUGCGUCUGAUUAGCUAGUUGGAGGGGUAACGGCCCACCAAGGCAAUGAUAAGUAGCCGGUCUGAGAGGAUGAACGGCCACAUUGGGACUGAGACACGGCCCAAACUCCUACGGGAGGCAGCAGUGGGGAAUCUUCCGCAAUGGACGAAAGACUGACGGAGCAACGCCGCGUGAGUGAUGAAGGUCUUCGGAUUGUAAAGCUCUGUUAAUCGGGACGAAAGAGUUCUGCGUGAAUAAUGCAGAAAAGUGACGGUACCGGAAUAGAAAGCCACGGCUAACUACGUGCCAGCCGCCGCAGUAA
Molecule: ribosomal RNA, 524 nt
Filed under: uncultured bacterium
Lineage: Bacteria
Description: partial 16S ribosomal RNA
Rfam family: Bacterial small subunit ribosomal RNA
Source: RNAcentral